UACGGAGGGGGCAAGCGUUGUUCGGAGUCACUGGGCGUAAAGCGCAUGUAGGUGGAUAUGUAAGUCAGAAGUUAAAGGCACCGGCUCAACCGUUGUACGGCUUUUGAAACUACAUGCCUAGAGUGUCGGAGAGGAAUAUGGAAUUCCCAGUGUAGCGGUGAAAUGCGUAGAUAUUGGGAGGAACACCAGUAGCGAAGGCGAUAUUCUGGCCGAUAACUGACACUGAGAUGCGAGAGCAUGGGUAGCAAACAGGAUUAGAUACCCUGGUAGUCCAUGCUGUAAACGAUGGACGCUAGGUGUUGGGGUUUUCAAGCCUCAGUGCCGAAGCAAACGCGUUAAGCGUCCCGCCUGGGGAGUACGGUCGCAAGACUGAAACUCAAAGGAAUUGACGGGGGCCCGCACAAGCGGUGGAGCACGUGGUUUAAUUCGAUGCUAACCGAAGAACCUUACCUAGGUUUGUCAUCCUAAGGAUUUUUUAGAGAUAAGAAAGUGCCGUUCUUUGAACGGAACUUAGAGACAGGUGCUGCAUGGCUGUCGUCAGCUCGUGCCGUGAGGUGUUGGGUUAAGUCCCGCAACGAGCGCAAUCCCUAUUUUUAGUUGCCAUCGGGUUAAGCUGGGCACUCUAAAGAGACUUCCGUCGAUAAGGCGGAGGAAGGUGGGGACGACGUCAAGUCAUCAUGGCCCUUAUGCCUAGGGCUACACACGUGCUACAAUGGGUUAUACAGAGGGCAGCGAGUUCGUGAGGACAAGCGAAUCCCUUAAAGUAAUCCUCAGUUCGGAUUGUAGUCUGCAACUCGACUACAUGAAGCUGGAAUCGUUAGUAAUCGCAGGUCAGCAAAACUGCGGUGAAUACGUUCCUCGGGCCU
This 866-nucleotide ribosomal RNA is filed under the name uncultured bacterium. Its description in RNAcentral is "SSU rRNA". It matches the Rfam family "Bacterial small subunit ribosomal RNA", at positions 524 to 1381 of the family's 1533-position model. The record is from RNAcentral.